Molecule: ribosomal RNA, 445 nt
Filed under: uncultured bacterium
Lineage: Bacteria
Description: partial 16S ribosomal RNA
Rfam family: Bacterial small subunit ribosomal RNA
Source: RNAcentral
GUGAGGAAUAUUGGUCAAUGGGCGGGAGCCUGAACCAACCAAGUCGCGUGAAGGAAGAAGGAUCUAUGGUUCGUAAACUUCUUUUGCAGGGGAAUAAAGUGCAGGACGUGUCCUGUUUUGUAUGUACCCUGAGAAUAAGGAUCGGCUAACUCCGUGCCAGCAGCCGCGGUAAUACGGAGGAUCCGAGCGUUAUCCGGAUUUAUUGGGUUUAAAGGGUGCGUAGGUGGUUUGAUAAGUCAGCGGUGAAAGUUUGCAGCUUAACUGUAAAAAUGCCGUUGAAACUGUCGGACUUGAGUGUAAAUGAGGUAGGCGGAAUGCGUGGUGUAGCGGUGAAAUGCAUAGAUAUCACGCAGAACUCCGAUUGCGAAGGCAGCUUACUAAGCUACAACUGACACUGAAGCACGAAAGCGUGGGGAUCAAACAGGAUUAGAUACCCCUGUAGUCC